Molecule: ribosomal RNA, 396 nt
Filed under: Escherichia coli
Lineage: Bacteria; Pseudomonadati; Pseudomonadota; Gammaproteobacteria; Enterobacterales; Enterobacteriaceae
Description: bacterial SSU rRNA
Rfam family: Bacterial small subunit ribosomal RNA
Source: RNAcentral
AAAUUGAAGAGUUUGAUCAUGGCUCAGAUUGAACGCUGGCGGCAGGCCUAACACAUGCAAGUCGAACGGUAACAGGAAGAAGCUUGCUUCUUUGCUGACGAGUGGCGGACGGGUGAGUAAUGUCUGGGAAACUGCCUGAUGGAGGGGGAUAACUACUGGAAACGGUAGCUAAUACCGCAUAACGUCGCAAGACCAAAGAGGGGGACCUUCGGGCCUCUUGCCAUCGGAUGUGCCCAGAUGGGAUUAGCUAGUAGGUGGGGUAAAGGCUCACCUAGGCGACGAUCCCUAGCUGGUCUGAGAGGAUGACCAGCCACACUGGAACUGAGACACGGUCCAGACUCCUACGGGAGGCAGCAGUGGGGAAUAUUGCACAAUGGGCGCAAGCCUGAUGCAGCC